CCUACGGGUGGCUGCAGUCGAGAAUCUUCGGCAAUGGGGGAAACCCUGACCGAGCGACGCCGCGUGCGGGAUGAAGGCCUUCGGGUUGUAAACCGCUGUCGUAGAGGAGGAAAUGCAGGGGGGUUCUCCCCUCUGUUUGACCUAGUCUAGGAGGAAGGACGGGCUAAGUUCGUGCCAGCAGCCGCGGUAAGACGAACCGUCCAAACGUUACUCGGAAUUACUGGGCUUAAAGGGUGCGUAGGCUGCGCAGAAAGUUGGGUGUGAAAUCCCUCGGC
Molecule: ribosomal RNA, 275 nt
Filed under: uncultured bacterium
Lineage: Bacteria
Description: partial 16S ribosomal RNA
Rfam family: Bacterial small subunit ribosomal RNA
Source: RNAcentral